Molecule: ribosomal RNA, 305 nt
Filed under: uncultured bacterium
Lineage: Bacteria
Description: partial 16S ribosomal RNA
Rfam family: Bacterial small subunit ribosomal RNA
Source: RNAcentral
ACAGCAGUCCCGCGGGAAUACGGAGGGUGCAAGCGUUAUCCGGAUUUAUUGGGUUUAAAGGGUCCGUAGGCGGAUCUGUAAGUCAGUGGUGAAAUCUCACAGCUUAACUGUGAAACUGCCAUUGAUACUGCAGGUCUUGAGUAAAUUUGAAGUGGCUGGAAUAAGUAGUGUAGCGGUGAAAUGCAUAGAUAUUACUUAGAACACCAAUUGCGAAGGCAGGUCACUAAGAUUUAACUGACGCUGAUGGACGAAAGCGUGGGGAGCGAACAGGAUUAGAUACCCCAGUAGUCCCUGUCUCUUAUACA